Molecule: ribosomal RNA, 586 nt
Filed under: uncultured bacterium
Lineage: Bacteria
Description: partial 16S ribosomal RNA
Rfam family: Bacterial small subunit ribosomal RNA
Source: RNAcentral
UGGGGAAUUUUGGACAAUGGGCGAAAGCCUGAUCCAGCAAUGCCGCGUGUGUGAAGAAGGCCUUCGGGUUGUAAAGCACUUUUGUCCGGAAAGAAAUCCUUGGCUCUAAUACAGUCGGGGGAUGACGGUACCGGAAGAAUAAGCACCGGCUAACUACGUGCCAGCAGCCGCGGUAAUACGUAGGGUGCAAGCGUUAAUCGGAAUUACUGGGCGUAAAGCGUGCGCAGGCGGUUUGCUAAGACCGAUGUGAAAUCCCCGGGCUCAACCUGGGAACUGCAUUGGUGACUGGCAGGCUAGAGUAUGGCAGAGGGGGGUAGAAUUCCACGUGUAGCAGUGAAAUGCGUAGAGAUGUGGAGGAAUACCGAUGGCGAAGGCAGCCCCCUGGGCCAAUACUGACGCUCAUGCACGAAGGCGUGGGGAGCAAACAGGAUUAGAUACCCUGGUAGUCCACGCCCUAAACGAUGUCAACUAGUUGUUGGGGGAUUCAUUUCCUUAGUAACGUAGCUAACGCGUGAAGUUGACCGCCUGGGGAGUACGGUCGCAAGAUUAAAACUUAAAUGAAUUGACGGGGUCAUAGCUGUUUCCU